Melitaea cinxia (Glanville fritillary) is the source of this 588-nucleotide long non-coding RNA. RefSeq lists it as uncharacterized. NCBI's taxonomy places the organism in Eukaryota, Metazoa, Arthropoda, Insecta, Lepidoptera, Nymphalidae. The record is from RefSeq and is a predicted model, not a curated record. The transcript is spliced from 3 exons.
AUAUUUCUGCGUUAUCUGUAGUCACCUAUCUAUCUUCCUCCUUAUUAAGUCACCAUCUCUUACGUCAGUUCCAUAGAAAAUAACUUACGGGAAAAUUUAGCCAGCGACAAUCCUAUUGUUUGUAAAUUCGCGAAAUUAUAUUUUUGAGCACUAAUUCCGUAAAUUCCGUCCACCGUGGGUGUCUCAUUCCGUCCGAGAAAAACACAAAACACGUACAAAGCGAUGAGAUAAUAAGUGUUUUUGAGCGUUAAUCGCUCGAAGUGCAACUGAGUUUUUGAAAGAAGUAAACAUGACCCGACCCGGCCCUCCGAGUGAAAACCUCCCUACUAGUUGAUUUGCAAAUCACCAUGGUGUCAAUAUUCAAAGAUUGCGACAGUGUAUGUUGCCAGUCUAUGUUUUGUGCUUUUUAUAAAAAAAAAUUUAAUUUGUUGUCUGCUAAAACCUUCCAUAGCAUGAGCAUAGCUACUUUAUCUAAAAUAUAUUUGCAGGAUAAUAUAAAUGAUCUUUUAAUUUAUAAGUCCAUCCGUUGACUUUGGAUACUUUAAUAUAAUAUGUAACAUGUGUAUGUUAAUAUAUGAUGUAACAGGA